Non-coding RNA from Cyanistes caeruleus (blue tit), 1434 nucleotides. Lineage: Eukaryota; Metazoa; Chordata; Aves; Passeriformes; Paridae. The record is from RefSeq and is a predicted model, not a curated record.
AUUCUGCUGCAAAAAUAUUAAUGAAUUGACUCAUUAAUUAGGUGCACGAAGAAAACAGAAAAUUGGAAGAGAGUUGGAGCAAAUAAAGAAGUGGAUGCAACUGGAAACUUUUUGGGGGAUAAAAAGAUGGGUCAGGCUGUCUCCCCUGAGCCGGGGAUGUACCUGCAGAGCUGUGGGUGAGGAGCAGCUGGGAGAAUCCUCCUGUCUUGGGCCUCCAUCCCUCUGUUCUUGGGAGCCGUGUCCAUCCUCAGGGAUGCGGGAUGUGCCCGCGAAGCGUGACUUGGAUUUCCACUGCAGUGAAAAUGGAGAAUAAACCACCGGUGCAAUCCAGGAGCAACAGGAAGGAAAGUGACAUCUGAGCAGUCCCCAGGCUGUCCUCCUCUGCCUGAAAUAACUCCUGUAGCAGAGCAGAGCCUGGAGGUAUCUUGGAUCCUGUUGGGCAUCCAAGGGAUGCUGAAAAACUGGUUGCUGCUGGAGGAAGAGCAUCUGAGGGGCAGUGACACAUGGCCUGAGCUGCAGGAUGGGCUCCCAGCAACCUGGAUUUUGAAGGAGCCCCCUCCCUGCUCACUGCACAGCAAUAGCUCCUGCUAGCACGUCCCAGGAGCAGCAAAAAAUGGCUCAGGCUUGUGUGGAAAUGGAAGAAUGAAGUGAGAGUUCAUUUUUCCUCUCUCUCCCAACCAGGAGAUUCAUGAGGUGGCUGGCAUGAGGGAACUGGUGGAACGUGUUCCCUCCUGCCCUGCAAUGUUGAUCCCUGGCACUGUGAGGAUUAGCAAGUGGUCAAAAGCAUCAGGAGGUGACCUUGCUCUGCCAUAAGAUCCCUCCCUCGUGGGCCUGGGCUGCCCAGGGAAAGCUGGCAGCACCCUGUGGACUGGUUUUAUAACAUCAAGAAGAAUGGAAAAGCUGCAAGGCAUGCACACUCAAGACGCUGCGCUCCUGGAAAGUUCUGGAUGGGCUCCAGGCAAUGUUUGGUGGCUAAGAAGGAUGAAGGUCUUGGAAAGAAGAGGAAACAAUCAGCCAAGCCCUCAUCCUGCAAUAUUCCUGUUUCUGUGAGCUGGGAAUGCCAUUGGAGCAUGGGAAGGACAGAAAAAUGCGUUCCUGCAACGUCACGUGUCUGAGGGAAACCAGGCCAGCAAGUGGGAUGUGCCACAAAACCUCUGUAGCACGAGCGCCUGCCUCAAACAGCCCCAACCUCAUGGGAGGGUUUUGUGUGGUCAGGAAAGGGGUUUUGGACCCGGAGAUCUGGAUUAACAAGAUAACUGAUGAUCAGCUGAUACUCAGCAUUCACAGAGCAGCCUUAUCAUAACCAGCACCAGCCCCAUGCUCCCCCUCUUUAUCACCCAAGGGCUGAGCAAACCCAAGGCCAACAUCCUCCCAUAGGUCCGUCCUGAGAACUACCAGAAGAUCUGGAGGAGAAGGCUCCUCCCAGGCCACUUU